UUCUAAAGUUGGUUUACACCUUCAGAAUAGAUAUAUAUACAGGGCAUCCAGUUGCCUAACAAUUGUGGUCAGCUAAAUGAGAAGGUGCUUGCUAGACAACAGAUAACCAGGUUAGUCAUGUCUAAUAAAAAGAGGAGUUUUACACCCUAUGAAGUGCUUUAUUCUGUUCUCUCUCUACAAGCAAGUGCGGGAUUCAUGAUCUAUUAACAGACGAUGGAAAAUUAUAGGCUGUAACUUUACAUCUCUUCUUUUACAGUGUAUUUCUCCAGUCCUCUCAUGUAUGUUGGACAUUUUAUCAUAAAGUUGGAGUUUGAAUAGGUUGUGGGCUGUCUUUAAUGCUAACUGCUUACUCGCCCAAGAAGUUGGUCAAUAUGGUCAUAAAAUUAUCUCACAAUCAAAAAAUAUAAACAAUCAUGCUCUUCUAUCUGUUGAAAGCAUAUGAACUUAUGACCGCUCUUCCCAAUCACCUUGCAUUUAUGAUUCACUGAACUUCUUUAUCUACUUGUUGUCCUUAAAAAACGUCAUAUUUCUUUGUUUGUUCUCCCAAUUUCCCCUCAAAAACACCUCUCACCUCCUUCUAUCCCUCCCUCCCUCUGAAAUUAUACUAUUUAACAAUGAUUUACGUCAGCAUAUUGACAACUGCUCCGGUACAUUUCUUCUGUUUGACUGCAUGGGUUCCU
This 680-nucleotide long non-coding RNA is filed under the name Phoenix dactylifera (date palm). Its description in RNAcentral is "long non-coding RNA (PDAC_LNC000919)". Lineage: Eukaryota; Viridiplantae; Streptophyta; Magnoliopsida; Arecales; Arecaceae. The record is from RNAcentral.